RNAcentral lists this ribosomal RNA (206 nucleotides) under uncultured bacterium. RNAcentral's name for it is "partial 16S ribosomal RNA". It matches the Rfam family "Bacterial small subunit ribosomal RNA", at positions 568 to 774 of the family's 1533-position model. The record is from RNAcentral.
CGUGCAGCCGGGUCUGCAAGUCAGAUGUGAAAUCCAUGGGCUCAACCCAUGAACUGCAUUUGAAACUGUAGGUCUUGAGUGUCGGAGGGGCAAUCGGAAUUCCUAGUGUAGCGGUGAAAUGCGUAGAUAUUAGGAGGAACACCAGUGGCGAAGGCGGAUUGCUGGACGAUAACUGACGGUGAGGCGCGAAAGUGUGGGAGCAAACA